This 925-nucleotide ribosomal RNA is filed under the name uncultured bacterium. Its description in RNAcentral is "bacterial SSU rRNA". It matches the Rfam family "Bacterial small subunit ribosomal RNA", at positions 1 to 916 of the family's 1533-position model. The record is from RNAcentral.
GGAUCCAGACUUUGAUCCUGGCUCAGGAUGAACGCUAGCUACAGGCUUAACACAUGCAAGUCGAGGGGAAACGACAUCGAAAGCUUGCUUUUGAUGGGCGUCGACCGGCGCACGGGUGAGUAACGCGUAUCCAACCUGCCCACCACUUGGGGAUAACCUUGCGAAAGUAAGACUAAUACCCAAUGAUAUCUCUAGAAGACAUCUGAAAGAGAUUAAAGAUUUAUCGGUGAUGGAUGGGGAUGCGUCUGAUUAGCUUGUUGGCGGGGUAACGGCCCACCAAGGCAACGAUCAGUAGGGGUUCUGAGAGGAAGGUCCCCCACAUUGGAACUGAGACACGGUCCAAACUCCUACGGGAGGCAGCAGUGAGGAAUAUUGGUCAAUGGACGAGAGUCUGAACCAGCCAAGUAGCGUGCAGGAUGACGGCCCUAUGGGUUGUAAACUGCUUUUAUAAGGGAAUAAAGUGAGUCUCGUGAGACUUUUUGCAUGUACCUUAUGAAUAAGGACCGGCUAAUUCCGUGCCAGCAGCCGCGGUAAUACGGAAGGUCCGGGCGUUAUCCGGAUUUAUUGGGUUUAAAGGGAGCGUAGGCCGGAGAUUAAGCGUGUUGUGAAAUGUAGACGCUCAACGUCUGCACUGCAGCGCGAACUGGUUUCCUUGAGUACGCACAAAGUGGGCGGAAUUCGUGGUGUAGCGGUGAAAUGCUUAGAUAUCACGAAGAACUCCGAUUGCGAAGGCAGCUCACUGGGAGCGCAACUGACGCUGAAGCUCGAAAGUGCGGGUAUCGAACAGGAUUAGAUACCCUGGUAGUCCGCACGGUAAACGAUGGAUGCCCGCUGUUGGUCUGAAUAGGUCAGCGGCCAAGCGAAAGCAUUAAGCAUCCCACCUGGGGAGUACGCCGGCAACGAUGAAACUCAAAUGAAUUGACGG